RNAcentral lists this transfer RNA (55 nucleotides) under Limosilactobacillus fermentum. Its description in RNAcentral is "Lactobacillus fermentum tRNA-Met". It matches the Rfam family "tRNA", at positions 2 to 53 of the family's 71-position model. From Rfam's summary of the family: Transfer RNA (tRNA) molecules are approximately 80 nucleotides in length. Their secondary structure includes four short double-helical elements and three loops (D, anti-codon, and T loops). Further hydrogen bonds mediate the characteristic L-shaped molecular structure. tRNAs have two regions of fundamental functional importance: the anti-codon, which is responsible for specific mRNA codon recognition, and the 3' end, to which the tRNAs corresponding amino acid is attached (by aminoacyl-tRNA synthetases). tRNAs cope with the degeneracy of the genetic code in two manners: having more than one tRNA (with a specific anti-codon) for a particular amino acid; and 'wobble' base-pairing, i.e. permitting non-standard base-pairing at the 3rd anti-codon position. The record is from RNAcentral. Lineage: Bacteria; Bacillati; Bacillota; Bacilli; Lactobacillales; Lactobacillaceae.
GCGGGGUAGAGCAGUCUGGUAGCUCGUCGGGCUCAUAACCCGGAGGUCGUUGGUU